Molecule: ribosomal RNA, 484 nt
Filed under: uncultured bacterium
Lineage: Bacteria
Description: partial 16S ribosomal RNA
Rfam family: Bacterial small subunit ribosomal RNA
Source: RNAcentral
GACGAACGCUGGCGGCGUGCUUAACACAUGCAAGCCGAACGAUGAACCCGGAGCUUGCCCCGGUGGAUUAGUGGCGAACGGGUGAGUAACACGUGAGUAACCUGCCCUUGCCUCUGGGAUGACUGCGGGAAAGUGUAGCUAAUCCCGGAUACGACCCCAGGCGGCAUCGCCAGGGGGUGGAAAGAAUGUCGGUCAAGGAUGGACUGGCGGCCUCUCAGCUAGUUGGUGAGGUAACGGCUCACCAAGGCGACGACGGGUAGCCGGCCUGGGAGGGGGACCGGCCACACGGGGACUGAGACACGGCCCAGACUCCUACGGGAGGCAGCAGUGGUGAAUAUUGCACAAUGGGCGCAAGCCUGAUGCAGCAAAGCCGCGUGAGGGAUGACGGCCUUCGGGUUGUAAACCUCUUUUAGUAGGGAAGAAGCGAAAGUGACGGUACCUGCAGAAAAAGCACCGGCUAACUACGUGCCAGCAGCCGCCGUAA